This 216-nucleotide ribosomal RNA is filed under the name Campeiostachys nutans. RNAcentral describes it as "Elymus nutans partial small subunit ribosomal RNA". The stretch from base 44 to 216 matches the Rfam family "Eukaryotic small subunit ribosomal RNA", at positions 690 to 864 of the family's 1831-position model. Lineage: Eukaryota; Viridiplantae; Streptophyta; Magnoliopsida; Poales; Poaceae. The record is from RNAcentral.
AGGUCAGUAGGUUGGCCAUGCCACAGGUAUGUGCUGGUCCCACUGAUUCCUCCUUCCUGAUGAACUGUAAUGCCAUUAAUUUGGUGUUGCAGGAAAUCUGGACUGUUACUUUGAAAAAAUUAGAGUGUUUAAAGCAAGCUAACGCUUGAAUACAUUAGCAUGGAAUAAUGAAAUAGGACGUUCGAUCCUAUUUUGUUGGUUUCUAGGAUUGACGUA